AUCUAUCCUUUUUUGAGAACACAAAGAUAAAAAUGAACUUCAGAGCACCGAUUCAUAGAGUAUAUUGCUGGCAUCUGGCCAAAACCUCCUACUGUUGUACAGUAUGUCAUGAUUUGGUAAAUGUAAUAUUUUUUCACAAAUAUAUACCUUUGAUCAGUCCACACAUUCAGGUGUUAUUUUUAUAAAUUAUGGAACAAGCUAAAGUAUUGAAAAUAGUUGGCUCUCUCUUGGUGUUAGCCCAUCUAUUAAAUUGUGCAUUGUUUGUUAACAUUAAGCUAGCAGACUUUCCUGAGGCAGUUUUACAAUUUUUUUACCUAUACAAUGUGUAAUUCAGUUUAUGUUAAGUUUAAUAUCACCUGGGAGUGGCAAUAAACAGCUGGCAGCAACUUU
Molecule: long non-coding RNA, 390 nt
Organism: Hippocampus comes (tiger tail seahorse)
Lineage: Eukaryota; Metazoa; Chordata; Actinopteri; Syngnathiformes; Syngnathidae
Exons: 2
Source: RefSeq, a predicted model, not a curated record